Molecule: non-coding RNA, 73 nt
Organism: Trichonephila inaurata madagascariensis
Lineage: Eukaryota; Metazoa; Arthropoda; Arachnida; Araneae; Nephilidae
Source: the annotation of a GenBank genome assembly
GGGGACGUAGCUCAGAUGGUAGAGUGCUCACUUAGUAUGCGAGAUGUACGGGGAUCGAUACCCCGCGCCUCCA